This 426-nucleotide ribosomal RNA is filed under the name uncultured Moraxella sp. Its description in RNAcentral is "bacterial SSU rRNA". It matches the Rfam family "Bacterial small subunit ribosomal RNA", at positions 65 to 491 of the family's 1533-position model. The record is from RNAcentral. Lineage: Bacteria; Pseudomonadati; Pseudomonadota; Gammaproteobacteria; Moraxellales; Moraxellaceae.
AACGAAGUUAGGAAGAUUGCUUCUGAUACUUAGUGGCGGACGGGUGAGUAAUGCUUAGGAAUCUGCCUAGUAGUGGGGGAUAACUUGGGGAAACCCAAGCUAAUACCGCAUACGACCUACGGGUGAAAGGGGGCGCAAGCUCUCGCUAUUAGAUGAGCCUAAGUCGGAUUAGCUAGUUGGUGGGGUAAAGGCCUACCAAGGCGACGAUCUGUAGCUGGUCUGAGAGGAUGAUCAGCCACACUGGGACUGAGACACGGCCCAGACUCCUACGGGAGGCAGCAGUGGGGAAUAUUGGACAAUGGGCGAAAGCCUGAUCCAGCCAUGCCGCGUGUGCGAAGAAGGCCUUUGCGUUGUAAAGCACUUUAAGUGGGGAGGAAAAGCUUAUGUUUAAUACCCAUAAGCCCUGACGUUACCCACAGAAUAAGC